This is a long non-coding RNA of Phacochoerus africanus (Common warthog), 1219 nucleotides long. RefSeq lists it as uncharacterized. NCBI's taxonomy places the organism in Eukaryota, Metazoa, Chordata, Mammalia, Artiodactyla, Suidae. The transcript has 2 exons. The record is from RefSeq and is a predicted model, not a curated record.
AGCAAGCUGGAAGCACGCCGGCGCGAUUCCGACCGAGGGAGCCGGGAGGAGGAGCCGGAGGUGGCUGCGGGGGGCUCUGGCCCAGGCGAAGGAAGGGCAAGAGACGCUACGAAUCACCGAGCUGACCCCCUCUCGUCCUUUGGCCUGGAGAAGAGAGAGUCUCAGGGCUCGGAGAUAAGCGGGAAGGCACCGGAGGGAGCCACAAGUCUGCACCCAGGCGGGGAGGAGGCGGGCAGGAGCCGCUCCGCAGGCGCAGGCGAGUGGGUGGGAAGGAGGGAGGGAGAGAGGGAGGAAGGAGGUGAGGCCGGGAAGAUGCCACUGCCGGGGGCGGGGCGGGGCCGGGGAUCCGGGAGAGGGACUGCAGCGGUGCCUGGUGGGGGCGGGGGCUGCAAUGUCACUCAUUUUGGGGGUCAGGUGUGUGAGUCCCAGGCUCGGGCCGCCACUUGCCUACAUCUACCCAGUACCACCUAGGGCGCAGGGGCGGAGGCGAAGGGUAAGGGACUGCAGAACCGUCCCCGGAGCGGGACGCGAACCAGCAGAGUUGGGAGAAGGUAAACAAGGGCCACGCCCCCUGCCGUCGCCCCGCGGGCGCGCACCCGCCGCUCGGGCUGCUGCCGGUACAUUUCCACUCCCAGCGCUUCUCCCCCGCUGGACUCCCGCGCAGCCUUGGAGGGGGGGCUGCCCCAGACCCCAGCCCGCGCCCCUCGCGCUGGGACUACGCACCUUCCAUACUCACCUGGAAAGGGUAUCCCCUGCCCCUCCGAAAAACUGCUUAAUUUGUGCAAAGCCCCCGCGCCCGGGAGCUGAGCAUGCUGCCCCCGCGUGCAGAGCCCGCGUGCACCCAGCCCAGAGAGGGGGCGACAGGGCGGAGGCGGUGGCCCCCGGAAGGUGUCUGGGACCGGACCGGCUGCACGUGAGCCCAGCGCGGGGUCAUGUGCACCGGCUCAGCCCGGUUCGGCGCCCGGACGUGCUGCGUAUCAACAAAAUGAAACUCGGGGAGACAGGAGGGCAGAAAGCUCCGGGUCCUCCGAACCCCCAUCCCCGGCCGCUCGAUCUCCUCUCCGCACCGGUCUCCCGCCGCAGCCCCUCCGCCCUGCCAGAGCCCGCGGGGCAAGUUGCAGCCCUGGCGCGCCCCCGCCCGCCCGCGCCCCCUCCCCGGCCCAGGGGCGCUUUGCCGCAGUCAUUAAUAAAGAAGGUCGCCAAGCUCACCCUUCCAAAA